UACGUAGGGGGCAAGCGUUGUCCGGAAUCAUUGGGCGUAAAGAGCGUGUAGGCGGCUUGGUAAGUCCGCUGUGAAAGUCCAGGGCUCAACCCUGGAAAGCCGGUGGAAACUGUCAAGCUUGAGUCCGGAAGAGGCGAGUGGAAUUCCUGGUGUAGCGGUGAAAUGCGCAGAUAUCAGGAGGAACACCGGUGGCGAAGGCGGAUCUCUGGGCCAUUACUGACGCUGAGGAGCGAAAGCGUGGGGAGCGAACAGG
This 253-nucleotide ribosomal RNA is filed under the name uncultured bacterium. RNAcentral describes it as "partial 16S ribosomal RNA". It matches the Rfam family "Bacterial small subunit ribosomal RNA", at positions 524 to 776 of the family's 1533-position model. The record is from RNAcentral.